UCCUCUCUCUCUGUUGUGUUCUGCCUCUUUCUCUCUCUACAAUAGACCCACCCCUCCAUGUAUCCACUGUGUUCUGUUCUACUCUUUGAACUCAAAUUCAUUAGCCCCAAGGUUAGGGCAAAUCUGGGAACAAGAUCGUCGAUUUCUACCUCAAAAACCCUUGUGCUCGCCUCACCCUUCUCUACUCUCAAGGUAAUGCUGCUGAUCUAGGCCAGCUUUACGAGCUCUUUGUUCAGCUCAAAGCCAAUCUCAGAGUCAAUCUCAUUGGGGUUUGAGCUAGGAAGAGAUCAACCUCAACUAAGAGCAACAAGUCUGCAUAAAGGGUUUGGAAGGACAAAGUAAUGGCUAUGGUACUUGGCAUUUGAAGAAUGGCACACUUGGAUUUGAAGAAUGACACUCGUUAUCUGUUUGUUAUCAGUUUGGUUUGGUAUCUGCUGUUGUGAUUUGCUGCUGUGAAUUGGGACGGAUGUGCUCAACUAAGGUGCCUUGGGAUUGAUUGUUGAAGGAUUCAGUAGGAGGAGAUGAAUUUUGCCAACUGUUUUUUGCUCUCCUUUGUGAUUUUUCUCUGCUUUUUGGUUUGUCUUUCUCAAAUUGUCUUUUGCUCUGCUUUGAAUUAUUAGUUCCUUAAUGUUUGCAGGUGAGAUGGGCUGGAAUUAUGGUUGUUUUUACUUGUUAUAUGAUCUGGUGAGGAGCAUUGGGUUGUGUUGAAGGAACCAUUCAACUAGAAGUGAUCAAGUGGGGGAUUUUUAUUGGGUGAUACUAGCUGGGGUUUUUUUUUUUUUUUUGGUGGGUGAUUUUCUAGCUUAGCUAGGUGGAUUGAGUACUUGAGUUGGCUUUGCUGGUUUGUAUUGUAUAGCCUUGGUUUGUUCUUUGUUUGUUUUUCAUUUUCUUUGUUGGCUUCUCACCAACUUGUGAGGCUUGUGCUACCAUAUAAUUGGCUAUGCUUUUUAGUGUCAAUCUAAUUGGGAUUGUGAAGUUAUGUUU
Molecule: non-coding RNA, 984 nt
Organism: Camellia sinensis
Lineage: Eukaryota; Viridiplantae; Streptophyta; Magnoliopsida; Ericales; Theaceae
Source: RefSeq, a predicted model, not a curated record